This is a long non-coding RNA of Pteropus alecto (black flying fox), 653 nucleotides long. RefSeq lists it as uncharacterized. The record is from RefSeq and is a predicted model, not a curated record. The transcript is spliced from 2 exons. NCBI's taxonomy places the organism in Eukaryota, Metazoa, Chordata, Mammalia, Chiroptera, Pteropodidae.
AGCGGCCCCGCUCCCGCCUCGGGCCGAGUCACGUGUCAGCCAAAGAUGGCUGCGCCCUGGCGAGUUUAGCAAAGGUUGCGGUGAGCCUUAGCUGUGAAGGAAGACCGGAGGAAGCACCGGCUGCGGGAGGGGAGCAUAACGUACUGGCAUUCUAGGAAAGUGCAUUUACAGGGUCUGCUGAGCCUAACUUAAUUUUCAGACGCUGCACUUUUUUCAUUGCCUCUCGGAGCUAUCCUGAGUGACGUAGGUACUGCAAAAGCUAUUCGAAAUAUUUAUAGUAUUUAAAGGUGCCAUUGUCUUUGAUAGGGAUUUAUUAUUAAUAACAGGGACAAAAUGACCUAUUAUGAGCUGCUAGGUUAGAUUUUUUACCGAAUUAAGGAUGACUUUUAAUAGCCACACCGUAGAAAUGGCUAGUUCACACAACUCGGAACCUUACCAAUAGAGCAUAGAACAGAAAACUAGUGAUAGCAUUAGGAGGUACUUUCAGAGGACAUAAUGUCUUUUAUUUCAGACAUGUACACCAUACAAUUUCUCCAUAGAUACCAAAUGUGAUUACUUAUGUACCUCUCCACCCCCACACCCAACACAAAUAAAAUCAUUCAAAGCUCCUGUAGGGCAGAGGUUGUGUCGUGUUCUUGUAACCAAGGCCCUCC